This 301-nucleotide ribosomal RNA is filed under the name uncultured bacterium. RNAcentral's name for it is "partial 16S ribosomal RNA". It matches the Rfam family "Archaeal small subunit ribosomal RNA", at positions 459 to 760 of the family's 1478-position model. The record is from RNAcentral.
CAGCAGCCGCGGGAACACCAGCACCUCGAGUGGUCAGGAGGUUUAUUGGGCCUAAAGCAUCCGUAGCCGGUUGCAUAAGUUUUCGGUUAAAUCUAUGCGCUUAACGUAUAGGCCGCCGAAAAUACUGUGCAGCUAGGGAGUGGGAGAGGUACACGGUACUCGAUAGGAAGGGGUAAAAUCCUUUGAUCUAUUGAUGACCACCUGUGGCGAAGGCGGUGUACCAGAACACGUUCGACGGUGAGGGAUGAAAGCUGGGGGAGCAAACCGGAUUAGAGACCCCCGUAGUCCCUGUCUCUUAUAA